UUGAAAGGGAAACGAUUGAAGUCAGUCGUACCAGCGGGAAAUCAACCUUUCGAGUGGGGGUUUUGGAGUUUUGAAGAGUUUCAAAACCUUUGAGAUUUCAAAAAUUUCGCUCUUUUGGUGCACUUUCUCGUGGGUAGGUUAACAUCGAUUUUGAUCAUCAUAAAAAGAUUGGAGGAAUGUAGCUUCGAUCUUGUAUUGAAGUGUUAUAGCCUUUGGUAAAUGUGAUGAUUAGGAUCGAGGAUUGCAACGAAUACCCUUCUGGGCUAUCCGCCUGAUCUCUGAUACGUGGCCUUGGCAUCGAAAGCUUGCUUAUGGUAUCAAGGUAUUACGGUCAAAAGGUUAGAACGGAUUACAUUCGUUAAGGAUGUUGACGUA
RNAcentral lists this ribosomal RNA (375 nucleotides) under uncultured Glomeromycotina. RNAcentral describes it as "LSU rRNA". The record is from RNAcentral. Lineage: Eukaryota; Fungi; Glomeromycota.